Long non-coding RNA from Phacochoerus africanus (Common warthog), 779 nucleotides. RefSeq lists it as uncharacterized. The record is from RefSeq and is a predicted model, not a curated record. NCBI's taxonomy places the organism in Eukaryota, Metazoa, Chordata, Mammalia, Artiodactyla, Suidae. The transcript is spliced from 3 exons.
UAGGCGGAGUCUCGGGGUGGCGGGGGCUGGGCACCCAGGCGUGGCUCCGCCCCUCAGGUAAGGGCUCGGUGGCGCGAGCCCCUCACCUGGCGGCGGCCCGACAGACGGCCUGGGACCCCAGGGUCAGGUUCUCUUGGCAAGGGAUGUCUCCAGAGAGGACUGAGGAGCCACUGUUGGUCCGCGCGCGCCCCGGACUGCGCUCCUUGCAAAGCCUUCUCAAUGGUUUGGAAUAGACACUGCUAACAAGAGUAUUAGUAGUAAACUAAGAAGAACAGAGAAAUUGAAUGAAAAGUGAGAACAUGGAGAGAGGCAAAAUGUGGAGGGCAAAGACCACAGCUCUUUGGAACACUGAUCAGAAACUUGGACUUGACAGCCCUGAAACCCUCUAGAGAACUAAGCAGCAUGGCUACUCCUGAUGGACAUUACCACAAGCAUUGGCUCAUAUUUCGUGGUUCUAUUAUGUAGAUUGAGUAGCAUCUUGAACCUGCCAUGUUCCAUUAUACUGCAUGUGCCACAUGCUGAGAAUUGCUUUAAAAAAAUCACUAUCAACUCAUCAUUUGCAUGUCUUUAUAAAAGGAUCCAGAUGCAUUACUGUGAUUUGAACUUUACAGUUGCUUAGAACCUGAAUAAAUAGAAAUAAAUAGGAAUUACUGUGCCACGCUUAAAUUUCUUUAUUGAUUUUUCUUUGAAAAACUUAAGUUGUAGGCAAAAGACCUGUCACGUAAUUGCAAGAGCUAAUGAAUUAAACUCAUCUGCACUUGAUUCACAACAUGUCUCAA